RNAcentral lists this ribosomal RNA (253 nucleotides) under uncultured bacterium. Its description in RNAcentral is "partial 16S ribosomal RNA". It matches the Rfam family "Bacterial small subunit ribosomal RNA", at positions 524 to 776 of the family's 1533-position model. The record is from RNAcentral.
UACGGAGGGUGCAAGCGUUAUCCGGAUUCACUGGGUUUAAAGGGUGCGUAGGUGGCCGGUUAAGUCUGACGUGAAAUCUCCGAGCCUAACUCGGAAACUGCGUCGGAAACUAUCCGGCUCGAGGGUUGGAGGGGGGACUGGAAUACUUGGUGUAGCAGUGAAAUGCGUAGAUAUCAAGUGGAACACCAGUGGCGAAGGCGAGUCCCUGGACAACUCCUGACACUGAGGCACGAAAGCUAGGGGAGCAAACAGG